GAUGAACGCUGGCGGCGUGCCUAAUACAUGCAAGUCGAGAGAACGGACGAGAAGCUUGCUUCUCUGAUGUUAGCGGCGGACGGGUGAGUAACACGUGGAUAACCUACCUAUAAGACUGGGAUAACUUCGGGAAACCGGAGCUAAUACCGGAUGAUAUUUUGAACCGCAUGGUUCAAAAGUGAAAGACGGUCUUGCUGUCACUUAUAGAUGGAUCCGCGCUGCAUUAGCUAGUUGGUAAGGUAACGGCUUACCAAGGCAACGAUGCAUAGCCGACCUGAGAGGGUGAUCGGCCACACUGGAACUGAGACACGGUCCAGACUCCUACGGGAGGCAGCAGUAGGGAAUCUUCCGCAAUGGGCGAAAGCCUGACGGAGCAACGCCGCGUGAGUGAUGAAGGUCUUCGGAUCGUAAAACUCUGUUAUUAGGGAAGAACAUAUGUGUAAGUAACUGUGCACAUCCUGACGGUACCUAAUCAGAAAGCCACGGCUAACUACGUG
This 497-nucleotide ribosomal RNA is filed under the name uncultured bacterium. RNAcentral describes it as "partial 16S ribosomal RNA". It matches the Rfam family "Bacterial small subunit ribosomal RNA", at positions 28 to 507 of the family's 1533-position model. The record is from RNAcentral.